AGGACACGACUUAAUGACUGCAGCUAUGUUAGAACUACACUUCGGUUACUGGUUAAGUCAUUUUAGUACUGUAUCUACUAAUUCAACGCGUUGUCUUGUAACAUCGAACGAUCAGAAGCGUGUUCAAUAUAUUUUUGUCAUUUAAUAAUUUAAAACUAUUAAAAUAUGUUUGGUUCAAAGACCGUACAGGGGAUCAGACAGUUUUCGAAAACCGUAGCAAAACAAAAAAAAAGCCUUGGAUAUAGUGAUGAUCAUGCGUAUAAAGGUCCUGGAAGUGUAAGUAUAAAAAUAACGUGUGUAUCACAUUACCCACCUUACUACUUAUAGGCUAUAUUAUUGAAUUAUAUAUUUUUAUAUGAAAUUAAAGCUAAUCAUAGGUAUUUUUGAAAUUAUUAGGUACCCACCUACAAUUUUCUCCUUCAUUAAUUAUUUUAAUUCUAAAUUUAAAACAUUAAUUUUUAAACUUGAAUAAAAUAUUCCACGGAUGGUCGGACUGACACCAAAUUCAGGCCACUGCAAUUUGUUUUGAAUGGUCCAAAAUUUUAUUUUUUUACUAUUUUAUUUAAAAUAUUAUUAUUUUAGGCAUUGAAAUACAGUUCUUGUAUGAAAAUGUUGGUAUCAAAAUAAUUAUUUAAUCAAAUACAAUAAAAUGGUUCACAGAACCGAUAUUAAAUAUAUGAAAAAUAUAAUGUUCUGAUAUUGUACCUACUGUUGUAUUAAAAAGAAUUAAGCAGUAAUAGUAUCGCAGACACCUUUACCCGUAUAUUGGGUGAGAAGUAAGGGGGGCUAAAAUUUGUAGUGCACAGUCCUAUGGUAUGAAAAAUUGAGGGAUUAUAAACAAUUUAAUUUAUAUAAGCUGGACUUUUCUAUUUGACAGUAUAAAUUUGUUUUGAAGAUUACCUCACCAUCUAACUGGUUAGCAAGAUUCCUUAGGAUCUAAGGUGAAUUUGGUAAAUUUUCUUGAUCUAUAUACCUACUUACAUGUAACCAGUUUUUCAUUGUACCCAUAACUGUAAAAGAGCAUUCACGCGUCACAGAAGAAAAUAAAAUUUAAACAUUUCAAUAUUAAUUUUUAUAUUGUUUUUUCAAGUUUUCUAAUUCAUAAAUAGCUCCUGGUAAAUUGGAGAAAUUCCCAAAAUAUCUUAAUAUAUAAACAAUAGGUAUUUAAUUUAAUAUCUCUAAAGAUAUUAUAAUUUUAUCUUUGUGUAUAAUAAAUUUAUAAAAAUUUUAAACAAUAGAUUAGUAAUUGCAGUUUAAUAUACAUUUAAAUUAACCUUGCAAGUGUUUAACUACAAUAUAUAAUAAGUGGUUUGUGAAAUAGGUAUUGAAAUUAAUUACUCAGGAAAAUUGGAAGGUACUUAUAAAUUCUAAACACCCCUUAUGUGUGCCUAUGCAUUUUAAGUGCUGUAUAUAUUAAAAUGUACAAUACUCUAAUAUGUUUGAUUUGAUUAGUUCAAAUUAAAAGCAAUAGCUAAGUGACCCUAAAAUAAAAGGGCCCAGUUAGCCCCUAUCCACUUGCACUAUGGACAGAUAAGAUGCGUAAUUUAAAUUUGAAGGACACAAUAUUUACAAUCUUAGCCAUCACUAUAGCUAUAGGUUUUAUUUCAGAUAUAUUAUACAGAACUAUAUGAAUAAUAAUCAUGCAUUUUAUCCAUCUAACUUAUUUUUUACUAAAAAGUGCAGUAAGUUUAAUAUUUUUAUCCUCUUAAAAAAAUGGAAGUUCAAGUCCUGUGUUGGAAAUAUCUAUGCACACAUCUUAUAAAUACAUUUAUUUUACAGUACCUACCCAAUAUUUCAUUUUAAAUGUUUAAUAUGUACAUUUCUAAAUUAGUUAAUUAAUUCUAUUUUUGUUUUUUACAAUUUAGAAUCUGCCGUUUGACGUUUACAACAAGUAUAAGUUCACUCUAUAUUAUACACUUUUCGUGUCUUCUGGAUUUUCUCUGCCAUUCUUAAUGGUCCAAUAUAUUAAAAAGAGAAGUGGUUAAUAUUUUUAAAAUUAGAUAUUUAAGGUAAUAAAACAUUUUCUUAAUAUUUAUUAUAAUAUGUAUAUUCAGGCUGACCCUUAUUUUUGAACUUUCGAAUUUUUGUUUCAAGACCUCCCUUUUUUUCAUUGUUACAUUAACAUAAUUUAGGUUAAAUUAUGUUAAUUUUAGUGGUGAUGACUUACCCCUACCAAUGCCGCAAAAGAGUUAAACAUUUGAGAAAGAUGGUACUUUUAUAGUUUUUUGACUUAAACUGUAAAUUAUAAUAUUGUAAUCUAUAAAAAAUGUUUCAAAUUUCUCAUAAAUUUAUUAGUUCCACAAAAAUUAUGAAAGAAAAUAUUUAAUUUAUAUGGCAAAUUAUAUUAUUUUACAGUUAUUUAAAUAUAGUUGACAAAAACCAAUAAAGAUAUAAUAAAUUAUAUUUUACACAAAAAAAGAUUAUUAAAAAAAAUUGCUUAGGAUUAACCAGUACAAUUUAUGGUAGGGUAAAACAACAAAUAAACACAAUGGUUAUAAAACUGAAAUUGUAUUUUAUUUUAAAACUUUAAUAUACUUAUUAGUAUUUAAGCAAUAAAAUUUGACCUCCAGUUUUUUUUUUUGUGUCAGAAGAAGAUGCAUGUCAAUAUUAUAGAAUAACCUAAAAAUUUUAAAUCAAUUGGAAAUAUAAAAAUAUCUAAGAUAAUAUCUUAUUACUUACAAUAAAAAUUGUUUCUAUUAUUGAUUUCUUGUGAAUUUUCAAUUUAACUCCUCCAUUAAUUGCACACCUCUUUUAUAAUUACUAUUUUUAAAGAGUUAAAGAGAUAAGUUCCUUCCCAAUAAAUAUAUUGAAUUUCUGUUCUAUUUAAUUGGUCUUCUUCAACUGAUGUAUCCAUACUUAUAAUUUUAAAUUCAAACUUUUUUUCAAAUAUCUCAUAUCAGUUCAUCAAAUACAGAAAAUGUAAUAAAUUACUCAUUUAAAUACCACAAAAGAUUUUAAAAUGUUGAUAAACAUGAUUGUACAAUAUUAUUUCAUUACAUUACCUUGUUUUUUUUUUAUUAUUAUUUACUAAACUAAUGUCCCCUUAACGUAUUCAUCUAAAAUGACUUAGUUUACUUUGAGAAAUUAAUAAUUCUCCAUCUUUUAAAAUUGUCAUAAAAUCUAAAUUCUUUUUUUGAUGAACUAUAUUAAAUUAAUCAUUGGGCAUGCCCAAUGGAUAAAACUGAUUCAAGUAAGGUAGUUAAUACAAUAACAUCAUUGAUACUAGAUAGAUUUUUUGUCAACUAUAUUUAAAUAAUUUAUUAAAAUAGUUAAUUUUGAAAAAUAAAUUAAGUAUUUUAUUUUAUUUUUCUUGGAAAAAAUGUAUUUACGAGUAAUUUUUGUAAGGACAUUUUUAUAUUCAAUAUUAUUAAUAAGAUUAUAUACAAGUAAUUAUACAUACAUUUACAUGCUAAGUGCUAUUUAUUUUCAGUAAAACUCAAAAAACUAUAAAACUACCCUCUAACUGCACAGGAAGGAAAUGAGUCAUUAUACUUUCUUAUAGUAAUGAAAAAAAUAUGGACGUCCUAAAACAAAAUUAUAAUUUAAAUUUUUUUCUCUUAUAACCAAGAACCAAUGUAAUGUAUAUCCUUAAGUAUUUUAUUAACAGUUGGAUUAAUUAGUUUUUUUUUUCUAGAUUGAUGAAAGUGUUACUACAUUCACUAUACCAUUCACACUUAAUUCUUCCUAUUUAUAUGUACAAUCAUAGCAAAAUAAAAAUUACAAUGUUCUUCUGUUAAAUUUAAUAAAUGGUUAUAAUAUAACAAGUACUUAUUUUAUUAAUUUUAGAAGAUCUUAUCAACCAGAUAAAAUACUUAACCAAUUAUAAAAUUAUUUUUAAUACCAAAAUACUUCACAACACUAAAUUAACUAUAAC
Molecule: non-coding RNA, 3874 nt
Organism: Cinara cedri
Lineage: Eukaryota; Metazoa; Arthropoda; Insecta; Hemiptera; Aphididae
Source: the annotation of a GenBank genome assembly